UCUCCUGGUUCAAUGACACGGUUCAUUUCUUCUUGAAUUUUUCCUUGGAGGGAGGAAAGGAUUAAGAAGCUGAUAACAAUCUUACCUUGCAACUGAAAUGACUUCCAGUUUGGCAAAGAUGAAGAAAAGGGAAAACUGUGAAUAUUUGGGAAGAGCAGAAGUGGGAAGGUUUGGGAUGAUCUCCUCUUUAUGUGUGCUGAGUGGUAACUUAUGUCACACACAUGGGACAUCACGACAACCUUUUAACUCAGUGGAGCCAUGGAGUAAGUCCAGCACAGCUCACUGAUUCGGAUCUCAAGGGUUCUCUUUCCCAUUCCGAAAUCUCGCAGUGUAGACAAGGGGCAGAACUCAAGGACAGGACCCAAGCUGGAUUGCUGCCAUGGUGCCGAGUCACAGGACUCAGCUGGACCACUGGUGAUGCAAUGGAGGAAGCAGGACACAGGAAAGCCCUCAAGAACACAUGGCCCAGGGUGCAGCUGGCAAUCAAGCCCUCAGGAAAGACAAGACUGACCAUGGAGGAGUCGGAACAGUGGUUGCACGAAGAUGUGCUAAUUCAGGAUUGCCAAUGGGAGUAGAUCUAUUUACAGGUGACAGCUCUGAUUCUCUUCGCUUUCCUUCCACCCCAGUGAAACCACCUCCUUGAGCAAUACAGUGUUUUCAUUGCUAGCAUAGUUAUUGAUCUUUGGCCCAAAAGUUUUCUCCCAGCAAUCCCAAACCGCUCCUGAAACCACUUCAGUCGUUAUUUCGCAGUUUACUGUCCAGAGGACUGGGUGUCCAUGUCUGGCUCUGUGUUUGGUGAUGACUCUUUCUGUUUAUGGGCAGAUGCUUGUAAUCCUCCAGGAGAAACCGUCCCCUCCAGGCAAUCCUUCUGCCUAGAUUGGAAAAGAGAUCCUGAACCUUUGUAACCUGGGAGGAGCCAGGAUCAGAGUGCAGCUGGCCAGGCAGAGGAUGGAGGCUGCCUGGGCAGCUGUUGCAGAGGGGGUGCCAGGCAGGAGCAGCAGUUUUUUGGCCCUCCAGGUGCACUGAGUCAUGCACCAUGCCAGGGCAGGGGCCUGCAAGAGCCUGCGUGCCCAGGAGACAGCUCCCCAAGAGCCACCUACACCCUCUGCAUCCUGGAGGGAUGACAACAAAGCUGAAGUGAUUAUGAACAGGAGGCCAUUGUUGAAAUGGUAACUCUGGGGGAAAGAGUCAAUUUGAUGCUCUAUCACAUAUUCUCAAGUGGGGAUAUUUUGUUCCCCAGUUGCAGAUUCUGUCAGAUUACCGGGCUGUGCUGCUGUUCACCCCUUUAGAAAUCUUUAGCUUUAAUAAUACUUUUAAUAUAAUUCUCCAAGGCUCCCGGGUGCAGGCUCCACUGAUGGAAAAAUGAUGAUUAUUUAUUAAUAAUAAUAAAAGUACAUUAGCCGAAGGCAAGGGGAAUCAAUAAACUCUAACGAGAUUGACAUGAAAAAGGUGCCUGCACAUCUGCCUGUUCUCCAAGGCUUGUUAUCAGGAGUGGAGUUUUUCACAAGGGGGAACUUUCCUGUGCAGGAUGGGCAAAGAAAAGAGGGGAAUGGAUGGUCACGCCAGUCUCAAGAUUUAUUGCAAAACUAUGAGGUCUUUUUCUGCACUCUGUUCUCCCAGAUAUUUCCAAGAAUAUCAGAUCCUUCUCUGAGAAAAUGGUGUGACCACUGAGACUCCUGACACUGUCAUACACAGUAAAAGGGAGGAAAAAACCCUAUAUGGGGGCAUUUGGGUACCAGUGGAGGAAAUCUGUUGCUUCUGUUUACAUACAGGUCUGUUGGAAUGGACCUGGCUGCCGCCAUAGCAAGCAAGAGCACCUUCCCAAGGGCUUCCAAUCUGUUUCAAGCUUCAGGUUGUACCUGCUGACAAUAUAGGGUGAAACCCUUUCUCAAAUAGUGAGCCCAUGGACUUGCAACCUGCUGGGCUGGUGUAUGCACUGUGGGAAAUAAUGGAGGAGCUCUCCAGCGGGAGGGAAUGAUUGCAGUCUUAAAAUACAGCCAAUCUGAUGUCCUCACCUCCACUUCUUCCUCAUAUUCCUUGGUUUCCAGUAUGCAACUCCAAACACAGCCUACAACUGAGUUGCUGGCUUGCAGGUGAGACAUCCCACACAGGACUGGGGAGAAGACGUUGCUCCCUGCUCACGUGUCUUUGUCUUUUGACCAGCCCAAGCCAGAACUGAUACCAUCUUAAGGUAAGCAGACCUUGUGGGCACAGCUCAGUUCCUCCUAGAAAAUGAGCCUGUACAUUAAACAGCCGCAGUAAUUUCUGUGUGCUCAUCUGGAGAAGGUCAUAUCAUCUUCUAAUGGGACACAGGUUAACAAUGCUACAGUAACCGUAGGAUAAUGCAGGGAAAGGGUUGUUAUAAGGCCAUAAUUCAGUCAAUGACUGCUGAUAACAUAAUAAACCAAGAGAGUGAACACCAAGUGCUUGUGUGCCUUGCAAGGUUCUGCCACUGAUUUACAGCCUCUGGAGAUGCCUAUCAGCCCGUGCAUUGUUAUCAGGAAUAUAUAAAGCCUGAGCACACCCUAUUAAACAUUAACAUUUUUAAAGACCCAGAUGUGUUAAAACUCGAGCUGCUCCUCGCUAAUGGAUUUUGCUUGCCUUGACAAAUGCCACUGCAAAAAGAAAUCAAAAGCUUCCCGACUUUGACCUCUUUCAAUUUUUCAUCAUUAUUGCAUUGUUUUAUUGGAUUACACCCACUUCUUCCCACCCUGCCAAUCUGUAUUUCUGCAGGAUCACUACAGGGUGGUGAUCAGUAUCUCAAGUGUUCAGUGUGCUCAUUUUCAUACAAAUAACUUGUUAGUUUCUUUUCACUAAUCUGUCAAAUCAGUGUGGGCUGCAAAUCUACUUUGAGAACAAAGACUCUUGGAAAAAUAUUUUUUAAAAUCAUUAUUUCACUGCAGAAUUUUUUUUUAAAGACUCAUGGGGGUUUUUUUACAUAUUCUGAGCUGAAAGAAUUUAUGUGAUGGGUCUGGUCACUGGGAGAAGAAAAUAAAAAAAUCUGUGUAUGGGAUUAGUUCAUUGUCCCUUUGCAGAGCCUAAGGUGACAGUAUUUUCCA
This is a long non-coding RNA of Neopelma chrysocephalum (saffron-crested tyrant-manakin), 3059 nucleotides long. RefSeq lists it as uncharacterized. The transcript has 4 exons. The record is from RefSeq and is a predicted model, not a curated record. NCBI's taxonomy places the organism in Eukaryota, Metazoa, Chordata, Aves, Passeriformes, Pipridae.